This is a long non-coding RNA of Daphnia magna, 1282 nucleotides long. RefSeq lists it as uncharacterized. Lineage: Eukaryota; Metazoa; Arthropoda; Branchiopoda; Diplostraca; Daphniidae. The record is from RefSeq and is a predicted model, not a curated record. The transcript has 5 exons.
GAUGUUUUCGAAAUUUCGACUCCUCUAAAUCGGUAGCCAUCUAUUGCCGAUUUAGGAACUGCGUAGUGAUCGUCUUUAGUCUAAUGAGGAAAGGAAGUUGCACUCCUCUCGUUUUCAGCAGUAACAAUACGUAUUUAAUUGCAUUUUGAAAUGAGGAACAUUACCAUGUGCACGAGUCAAUGUUGAUCGUACCACUCAUGGUGUGGUUAACAUCUUAACAUGUGGCAAAAAAUGUGACAUGGUGUGGCACAAACAUGUGCUUGCUUUCGUUUUUGAUGUGCUCGGUAGGCCGCACAAGUAUUGAGCUUUUGUACAGUUACGUUGUCCUCAUUCAUUGAGACAUAUUUUUGGCUCCAAAAAAAGACAUGUUUAUUUUCCCAAAUAUAACUUCAAAAAUACAGGAACUGUAUUGUAAGAAAUUGUACCACGUGAAACUCGAUCAGUUUGGAAAACACCUCGUUCUUUUCGGCCAAGUUAGCCUUCCUGAUUGAUGAAUCAUGGGCUCCAAGUUUAGUUGUUGGCCCGAUCAAACAAAUGUAAUCGUUUCCCCGUCUUUUCCGCAAGACUGAGGGAAACACUCCUGAGUGAGUAUCUUGUACAAAUUCGUAUUCAUCCAGACGCAGUUUCCUUCACGAAGAAUACUCUCGGGUGUUAAUUCCAUGGGCUGGUAAUGAAAAUCGAACACUGGAUCGGAUACAGCCAACGUUUGUUCAAACCCCACGUUGACGUGCCAAUGUUUGAUAUCCAGUAUACUGUGAUUGCCAGGACAUUGAUCUACACUGGCCAAUAUUGUUUCUCAGCCAUGAGUAAAUAUUGGCAAAAAGGGUUUGGCUAGGCGCAGUUAAUGGCUACCCAAGCCGUGUGCAAUUACCUGACAGCGAUAACAAUUGGACCAGUAUGGGAAUGUUACCCAGAUACCCAAUGAUUGAGGAAACAGAGCAAAUCUCUUUCCAAAUCGCUGAUGACAAUUCUGGUGUCGAAGAGAGUUCCAAUCCUGGUACCGGGAUUUUGCUGGACAUAAAUAAUCACAAAACCAAUGCUUGUGUUACACCAGCAGAGCAAUCAAACAAUGCCAUAUCAAGAAUGAAUUCAAGUUCUACGUCGAAUAAUCGAGAAGAUUUGGGCCUCGAAACUCAACAAUGUCCAGCGGCAUUGAAACUGAAUGCUUCGUCAACUUCAGCCCGCGUACAAGAAAAGCGAUUAAUAAUUAACCGGGCGGUUUUAUUGUGGUCCAGCUUUAUUUGCUUCAUUUUCCUGGUCGGUGCCAUCUCCUUAGGGUAAG